This 554-nucleotide ribosomal RNA is filed under the name uncultured bacterium. RNAcentral describes it as "bacterial SSU rRNA". It matches the Rfam family "Bacterial small subunit ribosomal RNA", at positions 112 to 664 of the family's 1533-position model. The record is from RNAcentral.
AACACGUAUCCAACCUGCCUCAUACUUGGGGAUAGCCUUUCGAAAGAAAGAUUAAUAUCCGAUAGCAUAUAUUUCCCGCAUGGGUUUUAUAUUAAAGAAAUUCGGUAUGAGAUGGGGAUGCGUUCCAUUAGUUUGUUGGGGGGGUAACGGCCCACCAAGACUACGAUGGAUAGGGGUUCUGAGAGGAAGGUCCCCCACAUUGGAACUGAGACACGGUCCAAACUCCUACGGGAGGCAGCAGUGAGGAAUAUUGGUCAAUGGACGCGAGUCUGAACCAGCCAAGUAGCGUGAAGGAUGGCUGCCCUAUGGGUUGUAAACUUCUUUUAUAUGUGUUAUAAAGUUGUCCACGUGUGGAUUUUUGUAUGUACCAUAUGAAUAAGGAUCGGCUAACUCCGUGCCAGCAGCCGCGGUAAUACGGAGGAUCCGAGCGUUAUCCGGAUUUAUUGGGUUUAAAGGGAGCGUAGGCGGAUUGUUAAGUCAGUUGUGAAAGUUUACGGCUCAACCGUAAAAUUGCAGUUGAUACUGGCAGUCUUGAGUGCAGUAGAGGUGGGCGG